AAUAUAUAUCUUAUCACAAAAAAUGGAAUUAUUUAUAGAAUAUCAAAAUUUAAUAUUAAACUUAUUCAAUCAGCUAUUACAAAUGAAAUUGAUAUUAAUAAUAUAUUAAUAGAAUUGAUAGAAAAAAUUAAAUGUGUACAGUUAUUUAAAGGAUUUUCCUGUGAUGAAGUAAUAUAUGCUACUAUAAGUUUAAUAAAUAAAGAAAUAUCAAUAGCUA
Molecule: long non-coding RNA, 217 nt
Organism: Apis dorsata (giant honeybee)
Lineage: Eukaryota; Metazoa; Arthropoda; Insecta; Hymenoptera; Apidae
Exons: 3
Source: RefSeq, a predicted model, not a curated record